RNAcentral lists this ribosomal RNA (1507 nucleotides) under human gut metagenome. Its description in RNAcentral is "bacterial LSU rRNA". It matches the Rfam family "Bacterial large subunit ribosomal RNA", at positions 826 to 2420 of the family's 2925-position model. The record is from RNAcentral.
AUUCCAAUCGAACUCGGAGAUAGCUGGUUCUCCCCGAAAUAGCUUUAGGGCUAGCCUCAUGUUAGAUAUCCGGAGGUAAAGCACUGAAUGGCCUAGCGUCCGAGAGGAUAGCGAAGCCUAUCAAACUAAGAAUGCCGGAAUAUUGAUGCAUGGGAGUCAGACAGUGUGAGAUAAAUCUCAUUGUCAAAAGGGAAACAGCCCAGAUCUACAGCUAAGGUCCCAAAUUGUAUCUAAGUGGAAAACGAUGUGGAAAUACGCAGACAACCAGGAUGUUGGCUCAGAAGCAGCCACUCAUUUAAAGAGUGCGUAAUAGCUCACUGGUCGAGCGUCUCUGCGCGGAAAAUUUAACGGGGCUAAGAUACAAACCGAAGCUUAGGCUGCACUUUUAGUGCGGGGUAGGGGAGCGUUGUGUAAGCGGAGAAACAGUAGCGAAAGCGGCUGUGGAGUUUACAGAAGUGAGAAUGCCGGAAUGAGUAGCGCGAAUGAUGUGAGAAUCAUCAUGGCCGGAAACCUCAGGUUUUUGGAGGAAGGUUCGUCCGCUCCAAGUUAGGCGGGAGCUAAGGUGAGGCCGAAAGGCGUAGCCGAUGCACAGACGGUAGAGAUUCCGUCCCCACCGAAAGAUUUAAGCGCAGGGACACUUUUAGAAGGUCGGAGCCAGGUGUUGGUUCUGGUAGAGAUCGAGGGAAGAUUAGUACCGAAGUCCGGCUGGAUAAGAGGCGAGAAAAGCUGCGUGUAUAUCUAAGGUGCCCGUACCGCAAACCGACACAGGUAGGUAGGAAGAAGAUUCUAAGGCCAACGGGAGAAGGGUUGUUAAGGAACUCGGCAAGUUGACCCCGUAACUUCGGAAUAAGGGGUGCUCAUGAAAGUGAGCCGCAGAGAAUAGGCCCAGGCAACUGUUUACCAAAAACACAGGUUUGUGCUAAAUCGAAAGAUGACGUAUACGAGCUGACGCCUGCCCGGUGCUGGAAGGUUAAAAGGAGAUGUGCAAGCAUUGAAUUGAAGCCCCAGUGAACGGCGGCCGUAACUAUAACGGUCCUAAGGUAGCGAAAUUCCUUGUCAGGUAAGUUCUGACCCGCAUGAAAGGCGUAAUGAUCUGGGCACUGUCUCAACAGCCCGCCCGGCGAAAUUGUAGUACCGGUGAAGAUGCCGGUUACCCGCGACAAGACGGAAAGACCCCAUGGAGCUUUACUGUAGCCUGAUAUUGGGUUUCGGUGUUGCAUGCACAGGAUAGAUGGGACACUGGGAAACGGAUGCUUUGGCGUUCGUGGAGUGGACGUUGGGAUACCAUCCUUGCGACAUUGGAAUUCUAACCUGCGCCUCUGAAUCGAGGCGGGGGACAUUGUCAGGUGGGCAGUUUGACUGGGGCGGUCGCCUCCUAAAAAGUAGCGGAGGCGUUCAAAGGUUCGUUCGAUCUGGACGGAAACCAGAUGAAUGAGUGCAAACGCAUAAACGAGCCUGACUGCGAGACUGACGGGUCGAGCAGAGACGAAAGUCGGAGUUAGUGAUC